GAUCAUGGCUCAGGAUGAACGCUGGCGGCGUGCCUAACACAUGCAAGUCGAGCGAAGCACUUUGCUUAGAUUCUUCGGAUGAAGAGGAUUGUGACUGAGCGGGCGACGGGUGAGUAACCGCGUGGGUAACCUGCCUCAUACAGGGGGAUAACAGUUAGAAAUGACUGCUAAUACCGCAUAAGACCACAGCACCGCAUGGUGCGGGGGUAAAAACUCCGGUGGU
Molecule: ribosomal RNA, 223 nt
Filed under: uncultured bacterium
Lineage: Bacteria
Description: partial 16S ribosomal RNA
Rfam family: Bacterial small subunit ribosomal RNA
Source: RNAcentral